Molecule: ribosomal RNA, 406 nt
Filed under: uncultured bacterium
Lineage: Bacteria
Description: partial 16S ribosomal RNA
Rfam family: Bacterial small subunit ribosomal RNA
Source: RNAcentral
AUUGAACGCUGGCGGCAGGCCUAACACAUGCAAGUCGAGCGAGCGGCGGACGGGUGAGUAAUGUCUGGGAAACUGCCUGAUGGAGUGGGGUAACUACUGGAAACGGUAGCUAAUACCGCAUACCAUCAGAUGUGCCCAGAUGGGAUUAGCUGGUAGGUGGGGUAACGGCUCACCUAGGCGACGAUCCCUAGCUGGUCAGAGAGGAUGACCAGCCACACUGGAACUGAGACACGGUCCAGACCCCUACGGGAGGCAGCAGUGGGGAAGAUUGCACAAGGGGCGCAAGCCUGAUGCAGCCAUGCCGCGUGUGUGAAGAAGGCCUUCGGGUUUUAAAGCACUUUCAGCGGGGAGGCGUUACCCGCAGAAGAAGCACCGGCUAACUCCGUGCCAGCAGCCGCGGUAAUUC